This 2502-nucleotide ribosomal RNA is filed under the name Clostridioides difficile. RNAcentral's name for it is "partial 23S ribosomal RNA". It matches the Rfam family "Bacterial large subunit ribosomal RNA", at positions 401 to 2925 of the family's 2925-position model. The record is from RNAcentral. Lineage: Bacteria; Bacillati; Bacillota; Clostridia; Peptostreptococcales; Peptostreptococcaceae.
UAUGAUCCAGAGUACCACGGGACACGUGAAACCCUGUGGGAAGCAGGAGGGACCACCCUCCAAGGCUAAAUACUACCUAGUGACCGAUAGCGUAUAGUACCGUGAGGGAAAGGUGAAAAGAACCCCGGGAGGGGAGUGAAAUAGAACCUGAAACCCUGCACUUACAAGCUGUGGAAGCACAUUUCUUGUGUGACCGCGUACUUUUUGUAGAACGGGCCAACGAGUUACGUUAAGUAGCAAGGUUAAGCACUUAAGGUGCGGAGCCGUAGCGAAAGCGAGUUUUAACUGAGCGUUCAGUUACUUGACGUAGACCCGAAACCGGGCGACCUACCCAUGAGCAGGAUGAAGCGAAAGUAAAAUUUCGUGGAGGUCCGAACCCACGAGCGUUGAAAAGCUCGGGGAUGACUUGUGGGUAGCGGUGAAAUUCCAAUCGAGCCCGGAGAUAGCUGGUUCUCCCCGAAAUAGCUUUAGGGCUAGCCUCAAGGUGAGAGAUACGGAGGUAGAGCACUGAAUGUCCUAGGGGGUAUUGCACCUACCGAAGACUAUCAAACUCCGAAUGCCGUCAUCUUAUACUUGGGAGUCAGACUGUGGGUGAUAAGAUUCAUAGUCGAAAGGGCAACAGCCCAGAUCGUCAGCUAAGGUCCCUAAAUGUAAGUUAAGUGGUAAAGGAUGUGGGAUUGCACAGACAACCAGGAUGUUGGCUUAGAAGCAGCCACUCAUUCAAAGAGUGCGUAAUAGCUCACUGGUCGAGUGAUCCUGCGCCGAAGAUUUCCGGGGCUAAAACUUACUACCGAAGCUACGGCAUCAGUAAUGAUGGGUAGGGGAGCUUCCCAUACGGGUUGAAGCAUGACCGUAAGGACAUGGGGACAGUAUGGGAGUGAGAAUGUUGGCAUGAGUAGCGAGAUGUGGGUGAGAAUCCCACAGGCCGUAAACCCAAGGUUUCCAGGGGAAGGUUCGUCCGCCCUGGGUUAGUCGGGACCUAAGCUGAGGCCGAAAGGCGUAGGUGAUGGACAACAGGUUGAUAUUCCUGUACUACCGAUAACCGUUUGAGAGAAGGGAUGACACAGUAGGAUAAGCUAAGCACACUGUUGGUUAUGUGUGCCCAAGCAUUGAGGCAGUCAAAGUAGGCAAAUCCGCUUUGAUAAUGCUGGGAUGUGAUGGGGAGCGAAAUUUAGUAGCGAAGUAGCUGAUUUCACACUGUCAAGAAAAGUCUCUAUCGAGGUUAAAGGUACCCGUACCGCAAACCGACACAGGUGGGUGAGGAGAGUAUCCUAAGGCCAGCGAGAGAACUGUUGUUAAGGAACUCGGCAAAAUGACCCCGUAACUUAGGGAUAAGGGGUGCCACCAUCAGGUGGCCGCAGAGAAUAGGCCCAAGCGACUGUUUACCAAAAACAUAGGUUUCUGCUAAGUCGCAAGACGAUGUAUAGGAGCUGACGCCUGCCCGGUGCUGGAAGGUUAAGGGGAUCUGUUAGAGCAAUCGAAGCAGUGAACUUAAGCCCCAGUAAACGGCGGCCGUAACUAUAACGGUCCUAAGGUAGCGAAAUUCCUUGUCGGGUAAGUUCCGACCCGCACGAAAGGCGUAACGAUUUGGGCACUGUCUCAACAACAGACUCGGUGAAAUUGUAAUUCCGGUGAAGAUGCCGGAUACCUGCGACAGGACGGAAAGACCCCAUGGAGCUUUACUGCAGCUUGACAUUGGGUCUUGGUACUACAUGUACAGGAUAGGUGGGAGGCUUUGAAACCAGGACGCCAGUUUUGGCGGAGCCAUCCUUGGGAUACCACCCUUGUAGUACUGGGACUCUAACCAUAGGCCAUGAAUCUGGUCUUGGGACACUGUCAGGUGGGCAGUUUGACUGGGGCGGUCGCCUCCCAAAAGGUAACGGAGGCGCUCAAAGGUUCUCUCAGUACGGUCGGAAAUCGUACGUAGAGUGUAAAGGCAAAAGAGAGCUUGAUUGCAAGACAUGCAGGUCGAGCAAGGAUGAAAAUCGGACUUAGUGAUCCGGUGGUUCUGCGUGGAAGGGCCAUCGCUCAACGGAUAAAAGCUACCCUGGGGAUAACAGGCUUAUCUCCCCCAAGAGUCCACAUCGACGGGGAGGUUUGGCACCUCGAUGUCGGCUCAUCACAUCCUGGGGCUGUAGUAGGUCCCAAGGGUUGGGCUGUUCGCCCAUUAAAGUGGUACGCGAGCUGGGUUCAGAACGUCGUGAGACAGUUCGGUCCCUAUCCGUCGCAGGCGUAGGAAAUUUGAGAAGACCUGUCCUUAGUACGAGAGGACCGGGAUGGACGUACCUCUGGUGUACCAGUUGUCCUGCCAAGGGCAUGGCUGGGUAGCUAUGUACGGAAUGGAUAAGCGCUGAAAGCAUCUAAGCGCGAAGCCAACUUCAAGAUAAGAUUUCCCACCGCAAGGGUAAGACCCCAGAAAGACUAUCUGGUUGAUAGGUCGAAGGUGUAAGUGCAGCAAUGUAUUUAGCUUAUCGAUACUAAUAGGUCGAGGACUUGACCAAU